Long non-coding RNA from Hippocampus zosterae (dwarf seahorse), 345 nucleotides. RefSeq lists it as uncharacterized. The record is from RefSeq and is a predicted model, not a curated record. Lineage: Eukaryota; Metazoa; Chordata; Actinopteri; Syngnathiformes; Syngnathidae. The transcript has 2 exons.
GAUAGAAGGAUCCGAUCUAACACAAAAUCCAAGAUUGAGAUGGUACCCUGGAGGCAUGCCGUGCAUGGGAGGCAUUCCAUGCAUCAUGGGUGGAACACCUGGCAUCAUUGGAGGCAUUCCUGUAACGGUGAUGGGGAAAGAGCAUUUACCCAGGCAUCCCGGGUCCCCCAGCAACAGGUGGAAUUCCUGGCUGAGCCAUGGGUGCAGCAUAGCCUGACUGAGGUGGCACUCCAGCCACCUGCGGUACCGAUGGACCCGGUUCAUCGUCGUCGUCAUCUUCAUCCGAGUCAUCUGGGUUUUUCUUUUUGCCAUCUGAAGGAAGGAAUAAAUAAUGUAUAAAAUGUA